This 404-nucleotide ribosomal RNA is filed under the name Acinetobacter baumannii. RNAcentral's name for it is "bacterial SSU rRNA". It matches the Rfam family "Bacterial small subunit ribosomal RNA", at positions 11 to 417 of the family's 1533-position model. Lineage: Bacteria; Pseudomonadati; Pseudomonadota; Gammaproteobacteria; Moraxellales; Moraxellaceae. The record is from RNAcentral.
GUUUGAUCAUGGCUCAGAUUGAACGCUGGCGGCAGGCUUAACACAUGCAAGUCGAGCGGGGGAAGGUAGCUUGCUACUGGACCUAGCGGCGGACGGGUGAGUAAUGCUUAGGAAUCUGCCUAUUAGUGGGGGACAACAUCUCGAAAGGGAUGCUAAUACCGCAUACGUCCUACGGGAGAAAGCAGGGGAUCUUCGGACCUUGCGCUAAUAGAUGAGCCUAAGUCGGAUUAGCUAGUUGGUGGGGUAAAGGCCUACCAAGGCGACGAUCUGUAGCGGGUCUGAGAGGAUGAUCCGCCACACUGGGACUGAGACACGGCCCAGACUCCUACGGGAGGCAGCAGUGGGGAAUAUUGGACAAUGGGGGGAACCCUGAUCCAGCCAUGCCGCGUGUGUGAAGAAGGCCU